RNAcentral lists this ribosomal RNA (521 nucleotides) under uncultured bacterium. Its description in RNAcentral is "bacterial SSU rRNA". It matches the Rfam family "Bacterial small subunit ribosomal RNA", at positions 373 to 905 of the family's 1533-position model. The record is from RNAcentral.
GGGCGCAGCCUGAUGCAGCGACGCCGCGUGAGGGAUGACGGCCUUCGGGUUGUAAACCUCUUUCAGUAGGGAAGAAGCGAAAGUGACGGUACCUGCUGAAGAAGCGCCGGCUAACUACAUGCCAGCAGCCGCGGUAAUACGUAGGGCGCAAGCGUUAUCCGGAAUUAUUGGGCGUAAAGAGCUCGUAGGCGGUUUGUCGCGUCUGCCGUGAAAGUCCGGGGCUCAACUCCGGAUCUGCGGUGGGUACGGGCAGACUAGAGUGAUGUAGGGGAGACUGGAAUUCCUGGUGUAGCGGUGAAAUGCGCAGAUAUCAGGAGGAACACCGAUGGCGAAGGCAGGUCUCUGGGCAUUAACUGACGCUGAGGAGCGAAAGCAUGGGGAGCGAACAGGAUUCGAUACCCUGGUAGUCCAUGCCGUAAACGUUGGGCACUAGGUGUGGGGGACAUUCCACGUUUUCCGCGCCGUAGCUAACGCAUUAAGUGCCCCGCCUGGGGAGUACGGCCGCAAGGCUAAAACUCAAA